UUCAUGCAUACUAUAAAUUUGUGAAAGCAUAUAACUAUAUUCUGCUAUUGUUUCUUCUUGUUUUAACAAGAAUGGAGUUGCUGUAUGAAUUUCAGUAAUCACAACUUCUUUUUGCACUAUAUAUUAUGCCAACCAGUUCAUUUUUUAUAUUUCUAAAACCAAGCAUCGCUUGCAGUAAAUAUUUCAUCAUAAUAGCCUUCUUUCUUAUCAUUAAGCAACUUAAAAAUAGAUAAAGUUUUAGCACAAACAAUAGCUUGCAUAAUAAACAUGUUUAAUCACAGCAAUUGUUCAAUUGUCCAUGUUGAUAAAUGCAUUUCCAUGUGAACAAUAAGGUUUAUCACUUCUUUUUGUCAUGUUCUAUCAAGAAGUGAAUAUUUGUAAUUUCAUUCAAAUAUUUUUCUUUAUCCAUUAAAAUCAUUAAUACAGUUGAAAAUUUUUGAACCUAAAUCUUUAAUGAUUCUUCCAGCACUUCGUUCAUUUAUGAUCUUAUAUUUUACUUCUGAAGUUAUUGUUUUCCAUUUCUUUGUAUCUUCUAUAGCAUUCCCUCCUUAUUAUCUUUGCAUUUUGCCAUAUUGGAAGCAGAUAGCAUAAUUAAAAUGAAUUCAACAUGAUAUGCUGUGAUUUAUAGCUAGAAUUAACCGAAAAAUCACCCAUCAAGCUAAAAAAAAUAGCUAUAAGAACUGCAUUUUAUUAAAGAAUUAUUAUAACAAAUUUAAAUAUAGCUUCUUUUAGAAAGAAAACAAUCCAACAAAAUUUAUUUAUCAUACCUUAUAACUUAUUACUUUUUAACACUGAGCAGGAAGUUGAUUCAAGUAUGUGGGGAAGCUGAUAAGCAUUAGUAAGCUUAUGUAUUGGGUUAUGGGUAUAAGCUGUAGGUAGCCAACUAGCCCAUACAUUUUUCAACUAUAACUCCUAUGGCUAUUUCGAAAUUGCCAUAUGUGAUUAAUCCUUAAACUUGCUAGUCAUUUUACCAUAGUGUAAUUAGCCAUCUAAUUAAAAUGAUAAAAACCACUCUAAAAGACUAGCUAGAUUGUGCUACAUUAUUUUUUAAAUCAACAAGAUUUAUAGCUAUAUGCUACGUGACUAUUUUCAUUAGCUAUGUUAUCUUAAAACAUGCUAGAUCUAACUAGAAAUUAUCUAAAUUAGCAACCCCUGAUUGGAAGGAUGAACUAAUUCAAAUGUUUUCAUAAGAAAGAGAGUAGCAGGCAGAAUGUCAAUACAAGUGUGCACACACAAUGUCAACAUGUAAAUUAACUGAAUGACUGAAUGAACAAACAGAUACUCAUGAACACAUUAUCAAGUUGCACAGAGUCAUUUGACUGCGGCCAUGCUAGAGCACUGCCUUUAGUUGAACAAGUCGACGCCUGGACUUAUUCUUUCUCCCAAAAUGACCGGAAAUCAUCUUAUGCACAGUCCUAGAACUAAAGAAGCAAACAUCCCAUCUCCAAACAAUGGCACGCAGUAGCACCACACCAUUAUUGUUUGAUGGGAAAUAAACAAUAGCUUCAGUGGAAAGUUUACAAGGGAAAAAGGUGAAUGAGAAACAAAACAAAAAGAAAACUCAACACAAAACAACUAUAACAGGAGUGAAGGAACAACUUCUACAAAGCAACAGUCACAUCACUCUUGAGAAUGAUAUGGAAGAAGAUGAACAACUGAAGUUACUCUCCUUGAACAAUGAAUUCACAUAUUUGAGGUGCUGGGGUCAUUCCAAUGAAGUAAAACUAAGAAAGGCACAGUUAACUUUAGAAUACAAGAGGUAUAUAAAAGAAAACUUGUUAGCCAAGACAAAACAAUGACACUAGAAUCAACUAAAAAUAACUCUAAUCUGCAGACAUGGGUGUUUAAUUACCCUAACUGACUCCAAAAUUUUUCAUGGGUGCUUUUGGAUGCACAAAACUACAUUGUAAGCAAUGACACUUGAGUAGGAACAUGAAGUACUGCAACUCAACAGAGCUGGUAAUUGUGUCAUAACUGUUUAAAUUAUUGUGUUUUUUUCAUACUUUUUCUAAUUUAUUUUCAUUUAAAUAGUUGCACCUUAAACAUUUUCUUCAUCCAUAUAUAUGUGUUCACACACAAACACAUAAUUGUCCCACUACAUAUGCUUCGUGGCAUUUCCUUUGGCUCUUUGUGUUCAAAUUUCACUGAGAUCAACUUUGUAUUUCUUCCUUCUAAGAUUUAUAAUAUAAGUACCAGUCAAAUAUUGUAAUCAAUGUAAUUAACUUGCGCCCUCCCCUCAAAAUUGCUGACCUUGUGUAAUUGACUAGUCCCUCUCCCUCAAAAUUUAGGACUUGUGCCUAUAGUAGAAAAGAUUAUUAUCAUUAUUUUAUGUUUGACUUCUGUUUUUCAUUUGUACAAGUUGGAUCCAAGUCUCACCCAGAGACCUCAAGAGACAACAAGUUAGAAGUUCAUGUAGGUGUUAUGCCUAGGGUACCAUAUAUUUGGAUUUGUACAUAGUGUUGUUCUAGAGAAUGUUUAAGAAACCAUAAGAUAAUAAUGUGUUUGUAUUAAAAUUUGAGA
Molecule: long non-coding RNA, 2520 nt
Organism: Octopus bimaculoides (California two-spot octopus)
Lineage: Eukaryota; Metazoa; Mollusca; Cephalopoda; Octopoda; Octopodidae
Source: RefSeq, a predicted model, not a curated record